UGAUGAAAUGGUGAUGGAAUGGUGAAGGAAUGGUGAUGGAAUGGUGAUGGAAUGGUAAUGGAAUGGUGAUGGAAUGGUAAUGGAAUGGUGAUGGAAUGGUGGUGGAAUGGUGAUGGAAUGGUGAUGGAAUGGUGAUGGAAUGGCAAUGGAAUGGUGAUGGAAUGGUAGUGGAAUGGUAAUGGAAUGGUGAUGGAAUGGUAAACAGAAUGGUAGUGGAAUGGUAAACAGAAUGGUAAACAGAAUGGUAGUGGAAUGGUAAACAGAAUGGUAGUGGGAUGGUAAACAGAAUGGUAGUGGAAUGGUAGUGGAAUGGUAAACAUAAUGAUUGUGGAAUGGUGAUGGAAUGGUAAACAUAAUGGUUGUGGAAUGGUGAUGGAAUGGUAAACAUAAUGGUAGUGUAAUGGUGAAGGAAUGGUAGUGGAAUGGUAGUGGAAUGGUGGUGGAAUGGUAAACAGAAUGGUAGUGGAAUGGUAGUGGAAUGGUAAACAGAAUGGUAGUGGAAUGGUAGUGGAAUGGUGGUGGAAUGGUGAUGGAAUGGUGAUGGAAUGGUGAAGGAAUGGUAGUGGAAUGGUAGUGGAAUGGUAAACAGAAUGGUAGUGGAAUGGUAAACAGAAUGGUAGUGGAAUGGUUGUGGAAUGGUAAACAGAAUGGUAGUGGAAUGGUAAACAGAAUGAUAGUGGAAUGGUAGUGAAAUGGUAAACAGAAUGGUAGUGGAAUGGUAAACAGAAUGAUCGUGGAAUGGUAAACAGAAUGAUAGUGGAAUGGUAGUGGAAUGGUAAACAGAAUGGUGAUGGAAUGGUAAUAGUAGGUCACAUACAUGUAACUGCUAGAGACUGACAGUAUUGUAGAGAUGUUCCUCUCUGUAACUGCUAGAUGGAGACUGACAGUAUUGUAGAGACAGAGAUGCUCCUCUCUGUAACUGCUAGAUGGAGACUGACAGUAUUGUAGAGACAGAGAUGCUCCUCUCUGUAACUGCUAGAUGGAGACUGACAGUAUUGUAGAGACAGAGAUGCUCCUCUCUGUAACUGCUAGAUGGAGACUGGCAGUAUUGUAGAGACAGAGAUGCUCCUCUCUGUAACUGCUAGAUGGAGACUGGCAGUAUUGUAGAGACAGAGAUGCUCCUCUCUGUAACUGCUAGAUGGAGACUGGCAGUAUUGUAGAGACAGAGAUGUUCCUCUCUGUAACUGCUAGAUGGAAUGGUAAUGGAACACACACAGGUCAGGGAGGGUUUGAGAGGCAGGUUUAUGGUUCCUCCUAGACUCUCAGGAGUUAACACACACAGGUCAGGGAGGGUUUGAGAGGCAGGUGUAUGGUUCCCCCUAGACUCUCAGGAGUUAACACACACACGGAGGGUUUGAGAGGCAGGUGUAUGGUUCCCCUAGACUCUCAGGAGUUAACACACACACAGAGGGUUUGAGAGGCAGGUGUAUGGUCCCCUAGACUCUCAGGAGUUAACACACACAGGCCAGGGAUGGUUUGAGAGGCAGGUGUAUGGUUCCUCCUAGACUCUCAGGAGUUAACACACACAGGUCAGGGAGGGUUUGAGAGGCAGGUCUAUGGUUCCUCCUAGACUCUCAGGAGUUUACACACACACACGGAGGGUUUGAGAGGCAGGUGUAUGGUUCCCCUAGACUCUCAGGAGUUAACACACACAGGGAGGGUUUGAGAGGCAGGUUUAUGGUUCCCCCUAGACUCUCAGGAGUUAACACACACAGGGAGGGUUUGAGAGGCAGGUUUAUGGUUCCCCCUAGACUCUCAGGAGUUAACACACACAGGUCAGGGAGGGUUUGAGAGGCAGGUUUAUGGUUCCCCCUAGACUCUCAGGAGUUAACACACACAGGUCAG
Molecule: long non-coding RNA, 1845 nt
Organism: Oncorhynchus tshawytscha (Chinook salmon)
Lineage: Eukaryota; Metazoa; Chordata; Actinopteri; Salmoniformes; Salmonidae
Source: Ensembl